Molecule: long non-coding RNA, 879 nt
Filed under: Citrus sinensis (sweet orange)
Lineage: Eukaryota; Viridiplantae; Streptophyta; Magnoliopsida; Sapindales; Rutaceae
Description: long non-coding RNA (CSIN_LNC001529)
Source: RNAcentral
AAGCUCAGUCACAGAGCAAUUUGGCGCCAAUUAACGAGCAAAUUGGUUGGAUUCGAGAAGGAUUUUGAUGGAUUCAGAUGUAGCUUAGAGAAUUGUCUCGGGUGAUUUCACGUCACCGGAAGAUCAGAAGGAAAGUAUAAAAUUAGCUUUCAUAUUGUUUGAAAGAGAUAAUUGGAGACGUCACCUUCAAUAAAGGGAACUUUUUUAGCUUGAAGAAGGUAACCUUUUUCUUCUCCAAAGAUUAGUAAAACUCCUACAACGUGGUACUAAAUCAAGUCGCUUUUGCAAUUUUGUUUUUACUAUUCAAUUUUCUUAUGGUACUUCUUUUAUUAUUGUGCCUGAUUUUAUUUUAUUCAAAUCUACUGUUUUGUACAUACUUUUCUGGGUCAGCCGUUUAAAACUUCGCAAUUCAGAGAGGAAAAUGGUGUAAAGUAGUUUACUCUACAUCAUUUAAUAACUAGCUGACACCCAUUCUGGGGGAUUUAUUUUUUCUCGCUCCAAUUACUGAAUUCAAGGAAAACCGAUGAAGGCAAUAUGCUGAAAUUAUCAUGUUUUAUCCAUAAUAAACUUCAUUUUUCCAGUGAAAUUUUGAUGGGAUGGCUCCAAAUCUAUCGUAGAUUUAUAUCUUAAUGAAUACCUUGGGUCGUUUGGAGAAUGAAAUUCUGUUGCUAGUUUAUGCAUUAUGAAUCCGACUAGAAGUUAUUAAAUGUCUUAAACUAAUAAAGUUUUAGUCCUUGCUCACGGCUAAACUCUUCUAUUUUACCUUGUUCAAUGAUCUGCAGGAAAUGGCAACUCCAGUGGAGCCUCCUAAUGGGAUCAGGUCCCCAGGGAAACAUUAUUAUUCCAUGUGGCAAACCUUGUUUGAGAUUGAUACAAAAU